AUUGAACGCUGUCGGCGUGCCUAAUACAUGCACGUCGAACGCAGUGGGGACGGGUGAGUAACACGUGGGUAACCUCCCAUCAGAGGGGAUAACACUUGGAAACAGGUGCUAAACCGAUACUGAUGGAUGGACCCGCGGGGCCUUAGCUAGGUGGUGAGGUAACGGCUCACCAAGGCCACGUUGCAUAGCCUGCCUUGAGGGGGGGUAAGUCAGACUGGGACUGAGACACGGCCCAGACUCCUAUGGAGGGAAGCAGUAGGGAAUCGGGUGUAGAGGACGGAAGUCGGACGUAGCCACGCCGCGUGUGUGAAGAAGGUUUUAGGAUCGUAAAGUUCUGUUGUGAGGGAAGCGUUAUCUAAACAAGAAGCCGCGGCUAACUACGUGCCAGCGGCCGCGGUAAUAC
Molecule: ribosomal RNA, 403 nt
Filed under: uncultured bacterium
Lineage: Bacteria
Description: partial 16S ribosomal RNA
Rfam family: Bacterial small subunit ribosomal RNA
Source: RNAcentral